AUUGAACGCUGGCGGCAUGCCUUACACAUGCAAGUCGAACGGCAGCGGGGGAGAAGCUUGCUUUUCCUGCCGGCGAGUGGCGAACGGGUGAGUAAUACAUCGGAACGUGCCCUGCAGUGGGGAUAACUAGUCGAAAGAUUAGCUAAUACCGCAUACGACCUGAGGGUGAAAGUGGGGGACCGCAAGGCCUCAUGCUAUAGGAGCGGCCGAUGUCUGAUUAGCUAGUUGGUGGGGUAAAGGCCUACCAAGGCGACGAUCAGUAGCUGGUCUGAGAGGACGAUCAGCCACACUGGGACUGAGACACGGCCCAGACUCCUACGGGAGGCAGCAGUGGGGAAUUUUGGACAAUGGGCGAAAGCCUGAUCCAGCAAUGCCGCGUGUGUGAAGAAGGCCUUCGGGUUGUAAAGCACUUUUGUCCGGAAAGAAAUGGCUCUGGUUAAUACCUGGGGUCGAUGACGGUACCGGAAGAAUAAGGACCGGCUAACUACGUGCCAGCCGCCGCAGUAA
This 507-nucleotide ribosomal RNA is filed under the name uncultured bacterium. RNAcentral's name for it is "partial 16S ribosomal RNA". It matches the Rfam family "Bacterial small subunit ribosomal RNA", at positions 30 to 523 of the family's 1533-position model. The record is from RNAcentral.